GAUGAACGCUGGCGGCGUGCCUAAUACAUGCAAGUCGAGCGAACGGACGAGAAGCUUGCUCCUCUGAUGUUAGCGGCGGACGGGUGAGUAACACGUGGAUAACCUACCUAUAAGACUGGGAUAACUUCGGGAAACCGGAGCUAAUACCGGAUAAUAUUUUGAACCGCAUGGUUCAAAAGUGAAAGACGGUCUUGCUGUCACUUAUAGAUGGAUCCGCGCUGCAUUAGCUAGUUGGUAAGGUAACGGCUUAGCAAGGCAACGAUGCAUAGCCGACCUGAGAGGGUGAACGGCCACACUGGAACUGAGAAACGGUCCAGACUCCUAAGGGAGGCAGCAGUAGGGAAUCUUCCGCAAUGGGCGAAAGCCUGACGGAGCAACGCCGCGUGAGUGAUGAAGGUCUUCGGAUCGUAAAACUCUGUUAUUAGGGAAGAACAUAUGUGUAAGUAACUGUGCACAUCUUGACGGUACCUAAUCAGAAAGCCACGGCUAACUACGUG
RNAcentral lists this ribosomal RNA (497 nucleotides) under uncultured bacterium. Its description in RNAcentral is "partial 16S ribosomal RNA". It matches the Rfam family "Bacterial small subunit ribosomal RNA", at positions 28 to 507 of the family's 1533-position model. The record is from RNAcentral.